RNAcentral lists this ribosomal RNA (433 nucleotides) under uncultured bacterium. RNAcentral's name for it is "partial 16S ribosomal RNA". It matches the Rfam family "Bacterial small subunit ribosomal RNA", at positions 29 to 507 of the family's 1533-position model. The record is from RNAcentral.
AACGAACGCUGGCGGCAUGCCUAACACAUGCAAGUCGAACGAGACCUUCGGGUCUAGUCGCGCACGGGUGCGUAACGCGUGGGAACCUGCCCUUAGGUUCGGAAUAACUCCCCGAAAGGGGUGCUAAUACCGGAUAAUGUCUUCGGACCAAAGAUUUAUCGCCUUUGGAUGGGCCCGCGUUGGAUUAGCUUGUUGGUAGGGUAAAAGCAUACCACGGCGACGAUCCAUAGCUGGUCUGAGAGGCAGAUCAGCCACACUGGGACUGAGACACGGCCCAGACUCCUACGGGAGGGAGCAGUGGGGAAUAUUGGACAAUGGGCGAAAGCAUGAUCGAGCAAUGCCGCGUGAGUGAUGAAGGCAUUAGGGUUGUAAAGCGCUUUUAACCGGGAUGAUAAUGACAGUACCGGGAGAAUAAGCUCCGGCUAACUCCGUG